GGGCCCGUGGGGUAGCUUGGUAUCCUUCUAGCUUGGGGUGCUAGUGACUUGAGUUCAAAUCUCAACGGGCCCAC
RNAcentral lists this transfer RNA (74 nucleotides) under uncultured archaeon. Its description in RNAcentral is "tRNA-Pro(ggg)". It matches the Rfam family "tRNA". Rfam says of the family: Transfer RNA (tRNA) molecules are approximately 80 nucleotides in length. Their secondary structure includes four short double-helical elements and three loops (D, anti-codon, and T loops). Further hydrogen bonds mediate the characteristic L-shaped molecular structure. tRNAs have two regions of fundamental functional importance: the anti-codon, which is responsible for specific mRNA codon recognition, and the 3' end, to which the tRNAs corresponding amino acid is attached (by aminoacyl-tRNA synthetases). tRNAs cope with the degeneracy of the genetic code in two manners: having more than one tRNA (with a specific anti-codon) for a particular amino acid; and 'wobble' base-pairing, i.e. permitting non-standard base-pairing at the 3rd anti-codon position. The record is from RNAcentral.